UUUUUUUUUUUUUUUUUUUUUUUGAGACGGAGUCUCGCUCUGUCGCCCAGGCUGGAGUGCAGUGGCGCAAUCUCGGCUCACUGCAAGCUCCGCCUCCCGGGCUCACGCCAUUCUCCCGCCUCAGCCUCCCGAGUAGCUGGGACUACAGGCGCCCGCCACCACGCCCGGCUAAUUUUUUUUGUAUUUUUAGUAGAGACGGGGUUUCACCGUGGUCUCUAUCUCCUGACCUCGUGAUCUGCCCACCUCAGCCUCCCAAAGUGCUGGGAUUACAGGCA
This 275-nucleotide long non-coding RNA is filed under the name Homo sapiens (human). RNAcentral's name for it is "HSALNT0360023". The record is from RNAcentral. Lineage: Eukaryota; Metazoa; Chordata; Mammalia; Primates; Hominidae.